This 256-nucleotide ribosomal RNA is filed under the name uncultured bacterium. RNAcentral describes it as "partial 16S ribosomal RNA". It matches the Rfam family "Bacterial small subunit ribosomal RNA", at positions 524 to 776 of the family's 1533-position model. The record is from RNAcentral.
UACGUAGGGUGCAAGCGUUGCUCGGAAUCACUGGGCGUAAAGGGUGAGUAGGUGGAUUUUUGGUAAGUCAGAUGUGAAAGCCUUGGGCUUAACCCGAGAAGUGCAUUUGAUACUGCCAGUCUAGAGUUCGGGAGAGGAAGGCGGAAUUCCAGGUGUAGGGGUGAAAUCCGUAGAUAUCUGGAGGAACACCGGUGGCGCAAGCGGCCUUCUGGACCGAUACUGACACUGAAUCACGAAAGCGUGGGGAUCAAACAGG